AAUAAACUUUGGAUUCUGGGGUCAUCCGAGGACACCAUUUAGCCGCUGGGGUCAUCUGAGGUCACUGCUCCUCCAUUCUUUGGGUUGCCCCAUCCUUAAAGUCAAGAGCUCAAAAACAUCCCUUUGCAUAUGUGGGGACCAUCUCAGCAACACAUAACAUUUGCUGAGCAUGUUUGUAGUUUAAAAUGUUUAUUGGUGUUUAAAUGAGUUUUUAAUCCCCUGUGAUAUGCUACAUAUGUGGCCUUAUGUGCCACAGCAGUGCAACUCUUCCAGGAGCUGCAUUUGUGUAAAGCAGUGUUCAGAUUGGGAAAGGGGGGGCUAACAGGCUGGGAUUUUUCUCAGGGGAAAAAGUAAAGCUAAUAUCACUGAGUGAAGCAAGGGUUUUUGCAGCAAGAGCUGCAAGAGUCGCAAAAAUGCACAUUUGCAAGGAGCAUCUAGGAAUUCCCUGUGCCAACAGGGCCUUGCUGCAACAGAUGAGCUGCAACAGAUGCUUCCCCAUCUGAAAAACACUGCAAGGUGGUGAGUUAUUCUGUGGAGGGUUUUUUUCCUUACACUGUGAAUUAAUUCUUUAUCAAUCUUAGUGAAUGUACCUGCUCCAUGUGGAUUUCAGUACCCUUUGCAACAUCUUGUAUAUAACCCCAGCUGAUAACAUUAUUAAAGCACCCAUCUAAGUGGCUGGA
Oxyura jamaicensis (ruddy duck) is the source of this 680-nucleotide long non-coding RNA. RefSeq lists it as uncharacterized. The record is from RefSeq and is a predicted model, not a curated record. Lineage: Eukaryota; Metazoa; Chordata; Aves; Anseriformes; Anatidae. The transcript has 2 exons.